Long non-coding RNA from Eurytemora carolleeae, 291 nucleotides. RefSeq lists it as uncharacterized. NCBI's taxonomy places the organism in Eukaryota, Metazoa, Arthropoda, Copepoda, Calanoida, Temoridae. The record is from RefSeq and is a predicted model, not a curated record. The transcript has 3 exons.
UGUUUCUCUUCCAUAAAACAUCCCUGCUUCAAUGUUUUAGGGCCAUUAUAUUCCUCUGCUGUGUUGGGUGCUUUUUUGUUGCCGUGUUCUAUGUUGGCCAGGAAUAUAUUGAGCAGAAGACCUAUAUUGAUACAACUGUUGAUGACAAUGCUGCAGAUAUUGGUCAAACAUUAUCAACUGUUUUCUGCUUUAGGCCUGCGUUGAUAGGCAAUGAAAGUGCAGGUUUGAAAGAUGUUGUGAGUAGCCUCGUGACCCCACUGAAAAUUGGCUCAGGCUUUCUUUUCACUGGAG